GUUGUUGCAGUUAAAAAGCUCGUAGUUGAACUUCGGGGUUUACCCAUUGGUCAGGCUUAAUUGUCUGCACUGGUGAGAUGAAUCUCUACCUUCUGAGGAACUUUCAUGCCAUUUAUUUGGUGUGAUUGGAAAUCAGGACUGUUACUUUGAAAAAAUUAGAGUGUUUAAAGCAGGCUAACGUCUGAAUACAUUAGCAUGGAAUAAUGAAAUAGGACGGACUGAUUCUAUUUCGUUGGUUUCUAGGAUCACCGUAAUGAUUAAUAGGGAUAGUUGGGGGCAUUAGUAUUCAAUUGUCAGAGGUGAAAUUCUUGGAUUUAUUGAAGACUAACUACUGCGAAAGCAUUUGCCAAGGAUGUUUUCAUUAAUCAAGAACGAAAGUUAGGGGAUCGAAGACGAUCAGAUACCGUCGUAGUCUUAACCAUAAACUAUGCCGACUAGGGAUCGGACGAAGUUAAUUUUAUAAUGACGCGUUCGGCGCCUUACGGGAAAC
This 490-nucleotide ribosomal RNA is filed under the name uncultured Glomeraceae. RNAcentral describes it as "SSU rRNA". It matches the Rfam family "Eukaryotic small subunit ribosomal RNA", at positions 609 to 1098 of the family's 1831-position model. The record is from RNAcentral. Lineage: Eukaryota; Fungi; Glomeromycota; Glomeromycetes; Glomerales; Glomeraceae.